UAGCUAUUCAUCCAGCUUGAGAUCUUUCUUCACUGGCUUGGAAAAACAGGUUUUAUGAUCCCGAAAUAGCGUGGGUAGCAUUUACAGUCCUUCUUGCUUGACUGACAACCCGCUCCUUAUAAUGCAGACUGACCCAGUAAGGAUGGGGUAGCAGAGAUUAGAAUGUAUAACACCACCACAUAGUGAUCAACAGCUUGUGAAAUAUACACUUUGACCAAAGACAAGUUUCUGGGAGAGAAUACAGUUGUUGAGAUCUGGAACUUGAACCUCAACAGUGAUGUUGUGAUGUAGUUGAAGCAGCACAAACAGCGAGCCCUAAAUCUGUAUCCCACCAACUGGAUUAACACACCACACAACAUGUCUGCAAUUGAGCAGUUGUCAAUCACUCUGGAACAUGAUAUUGACGAGCAGUAUCAGUAUCAACCGGGCGAGGUGGUGCGUGGCGCCAUAUGUAUCAAAUCCUCCAGACCCACCUUCAUAAGGACAAUAUUCAUCACGAUAGUGGGGGAGGGCUCAGUCGGGUGGGACGAUGAGAGUUCCGGAGAGACGUACACGGCCAGCGAGACAUACAUUAACGCGUCUAAAGUUGUCAUUGACGCUCGGGGAGGACGACCGAAGGGGAUUCACGUCGGCAACAACGACUUCCCCUUCGAAUACCAGCUUCCUGAAAACCUCCCGUCUUCGUACAUCGGAAAAUACGGGAGUGUAACAUACCUAAUGAAAGCCACGGUCAAGGGAGACAAGUCUAUUGACCAAGCUAUUACAAGUGAGCCGUUUCUGUGUUUACGGAGGAGUCCUUUGCCAGAUUUCAUAGAAACACCAUUAGAAUUGGAACGAAAUCAGUGUUUCUGGGCUUCGUGCACAUUCGGGAAUGUUUAUGUUCGAGCCGGACUUAACAAACAAGGUGGCGUGCCGGGAGAAGAUUUGUUUGUUCAUGCGGAAGUGAAAAACAAAAGUCGGCGUACGAUCACUGCCGUUCAGGCAUCUAUCAUCAUGCAUAGUACAUACAAUGCCAAGAAGUACACCACAAACUUUCGACAGAUAGUAAACAAGAAACGCGAUGAGUAUGACCUAACCUACAAUGAUGGAAGGCGAUGGUCAUAUGUUCGUCUCACUGUUCCACCAUACAUACCGGAAUCAAACUUGGAAUACUGCGAUAUUAUCGACCUGUCGUAUCUUUUCCAGUUUCGGGUGGAGUUAACAGGGGGGGUUGAAGUCAAACUUGAAGCUCCUCUCCUGAUCGGAGCUCAUCCGGCUGGAUUGGAAAUUCCGAAACAAGAGAAGCCGAAUAACAACAUCAAUAGUCAGUGGACAGUGAAAAUGAAGGGGGUUGUACUGGACAAUGUAGGCAACGGGUUCGAUGAACGUGACACAGUCAAUGACUGGCAUGGGGGAGUGCCACCAGAGCUCCGGAGUGACGACAGGAGUGUCAUCAACAAUCCUCUGUUUCGUAACAACUCUUUCAUGAAUCGUGGCGGGCGUCCUGGGAUGAGGAACAUACCAGAUGAACAGCCAGAAAUCAUCGAGAACACCAAAUUAUGAAGAGAGUUAUAGAAACUAUUAAUCAUAUAUUCUGUUUUGGGUUGCUACUGGUCAAAAUAUUUACUAUAUGCAAAUUUGUAGAUAAAAACUGGUUUGAGACUUAUAGAUAGCCAUUGUAGUGUUUCUGAUCAAUUUACAUUAAUAUUUGGUAAAUUAAUGUGAAAUUGACGUAAAAUAAUGGUUUUGUCCAUGAAUCAUCCUAUAAAAUAAAAGAGAAAUCCCAAAAGACAUUCAUGCAAUUAACAAGGAAAUGCCCUGUCAAUCACAGGCACCUCAACUGACAUUGAUGAGCUUCAUGGAAAAUCACAUAUCAAUUUCGUGUACAUAGUUUGACAGUUUAUUGACAAGCCUUGUCAAGUUUGUGUUGUAAAUAUCACUGAAAUGGAUUAGCAUGUGUACAGGAAUAUAUAUAUUACCCAGUGACCAUCAAGUGCAAUGGACAUACUAUAGACAAGCUAUGAACAAAGUUACCUUCAAGAACUUUCCAAGUUUGUACCGUGCACAUGUUGAUUACUGUGGAUGAGCAAUGUAUCAGUGCUUUUUUACCAAUGCUUUCAUGAAAUCCACAGAAAGUGGAAAUGUUUCUGAAUAUGCUGAGAGCUGGAUGUGUUUGGAUUCUUGUAACAUUCUUCAGAUGUUUUCUUUGAUCAACAACAAAACAAGAAAGUAAUUAUAGACCAACGAGGGUGCAUUUCUUUUGAUGCUCAGUAUAUGCAACACAACUGGACACUUUCACAAGCAGCAACAUAUGUAUUAUAUAUAGGAGAGGAUUUUACUGUAAACAUUUUACUCCCAAAGAUUCCAACCAUGUCAUAUUUUCAACACACAAAUACUGUAUCUGAGCAAUUUGAUACAAGUUCCUAGUACUGGGUUAUUAUAAAUACUGUAUUUGUCAUGAUUCAUGGUACCUCUCCUGCAAGCAAGCAGUACUGAUCACCAUAUUUGUCAACAACAGACUUGAAUAAUGAAAAGUAAAACGUGGUAAUGGAGAUCAAUGUUUUGCUAUAACUUGGGACAAGGUGACUUAGCAUACAGUAAAUCUUUCAAUGUGGAUUCAGACUGUGACAAGCAUUUACUGCGUCCUCUCAUUAUGUCUGUGCUGCUAAUUACCAAACAUAUGGGGUAAUCAAAAUCCUGCUAUCAGUCAUAUAUUUCUAUGUCACUGAACUAUGUGUUUCAGCAGUGGGGUACAUUGUAUUGAAGCAUUGUGAUUGUUUCACGAUACGCCUACCUAUGUAUCGACCAGGGAUAUAAUUCUAUAUUGAUAUUCAACAAGUCAUAAUUUACAAAUUUUUGCUAUAGCCCAGCCUGUGUUACAUUCCCAGGUCAUACAAGAAAAUGUUAGAUCUGAUUUCAUAACACUAAACAAGCCUGGAGUAACCAGUUGUGCGAGUUACCACAAACUGGUUGAUAGUGACAACCUCUUGGUAGCCGGAUGGAGCAUUGAGAAUGUCAUGCAACAACAGUGCAAUCAAAGUAUGAGGACUUAAGUACUGGGAUAUGUAUCGAUACCUACGGUGGGCGUAUCGUGAUACCCCUAGUACAUUGCUGUUUAGGUACAAGUAUGUUCCCAGUAAACUUUCCAUCCUGUCAAACAUUGGAAAUAAAGUCGGUGUAUGUAA
Molecule: unclassified non-coding RNA, 3164 nt
Filed under: Haliotis rufescens (red abalone)
Lineage: Eukaryota; Metazoa; Mollusca; Gastropoda; Lepetellida; Haliotidae
Description: arrestin domain-containing protein 4-like, transcript variant X5
Source: RNAcentral